AGAAGAAGAAGAAGAAGAAGAAGAAGAAGAAGAAGAAGAAGAAGAAGAAGGUUGCAGCAGCUGACCUCUGACCCCACAGAGUCGCAUUCUUUGCGUUUCUGCAGCACUUAAAGCCAUGACGUGUGCGUGGUGUGCGUGUUCCAUGAUGCGCACUCUCCACUCUAAAUGUGAUUGAUUGUAAACCUGUGCACCUCUUGGUGCCGUAAUGUUUACAUGUUCUGUAAGUUUCAGCCAGUUUUUGUGCGUAAAACCAGGAACACGUUAGUGAUUCUUGUUACGUCCAAAGGUGAUUACGUUAUCCCCACCUCCCUGCUGAUGUCUCCUCUGACUGUGAAGGCCUGAACUGCAGAUUAUGACAUAGUCUUGUCUUGUCUCUUUGUCUCACAGGUGGAAACAGUGACAAAAAUCAAGCUUUUGUGUGGACCCCGCAGCUGGAUUUCCCCCCCACAGCAGCGCGCAGGAGGGAGAAGAUGAAAAAGGUGACCCACGUUUUUUUUGGGAGAUAUUUGCACCAAGGGAGCAGACUGGCAAAGAGAGACUCCCCUUCUGUCCUCCUGCUCGGAUUCAUCCCAACAAAAGGGGUCCAAAGUGAGGAUUGAAGGAGGAGAAAUCCUGACUGAAGGAAAGCUGCCAGAUGAGCCAUCCUCCUCUUUCCAGUUUCUGGUUUGCCAUCUCUUCUCCUGGAGCAACCUCUCUGUCUCCCUCUGAACAGCCUCAGUCUGCUUCAAUGUAACUUCUUCUGUCCAUCUUCCUUCUUUGGCUUCAUGCUGCAGGAUGGAGAAAUACAAUCUUACUGUGCUGAAGAUUGCAAUGUGUCAUCACCUGGACAUAUUCACAUCAUACAACGUGAUGCAGUCACUGCAGCAAAUCAGCUGGAGUGAUCUGUGUGUGUUUGGAGGGGAAGCCCAGAUGAAGCAGACUGAGAGGAUGAUGGGUUCCAGCAGAGAGGGAGGAGAUGACUCUUUGUUUCCACCAACACCACCUAAAACCAGGAAAGUCAAGUUUGAGUGGGACGCUCCGUCCCCCCACACACACCCCGCCCUUGACGUCUAAUCCCAGGACUGGCAGACGGAGCAGCCGGAGCGUCGUGCGUGGUCCCGUCGGGAUGAAACUGCAGCUGUGGAGGAGCGCGACAAUAAUGUGACGGUGGAGGCUCAACAAGUCGGACUGGAGUGUGUGUGUGUGCGUGCGUGCGUGCGUGCGCGCGCGUGUGUUAAAGACGAAAGGGAAAACAACUAUUAUAAAGUCCUGUGUUUUAUAAUUAUACACCUGCAAAAAAUGUAACUUUUGCUGAUUGUCUCAUAAAUAUUUCUGUUCUUAUUUAGGCCUAUAGAUAAAUGUUUGAAACUGUAAUUCUGUGACUUUUUAUUCGUCUCAAAUUGUAUUAAAAUUAUACAAACACUAGAGGUUAUAAAUCCAGGUUUGAAAUGAUUUGAUUACAUUUUAUUAGAAUGACUGAUAUUUUUGCCAAACAAUUAAAUAUCGCAUGAAAAACACCUCGGAAGCCCUCUCCGAGCCCCCACAACUUGUGUCAAAUAUUGCGAGCAGCUGCGUGAGGCUUCCCAGCAUCUAGAUCCAUUUUCUUACUCUCGUGCCUUUGCUGAGUUCACGACAGGCUUCGGUUUGAGCCACAGAGCCCUGAUCUGUCCGCAUUUCGUGUUUGAUUUGCCGGAGCGCGCGUGUGGAGCGGAGGGGGGCCGCGUGCAUGGCGGGCAGAUCAGAUCAGCUCGACUGCAGCUGGACUCGAAACACUCAGCUGCAAACAGGUCGGAGGAGGGAGGACCUUCAUGUGGAGAGAGGGGCAAAAUGUCCUUUUAUUUUUCUGUGAUUGUCUUUAAACGUUGUCUGCUGUAAGUGGAAAUUUUAACAGAGUGUAAAAUCUGAAUAAAAACAAUGGAAAUGUA
Austrofundulus limnaeus is the source of this 1904-nucleotide long non-coding RNA. RefSeq lists it as uncharacterized. The record is from RefSeq and is a predicted model, not a curated record. NCBI's taxonomy places the organism in Eukaryota, Metazoa, Chordata, Actinopteri, Cyprinodontiformes, Rivulidae. The transcript has 7 exons.